UGUCUUAUUAUUAUACUCCAAAUUUUAUAUUUUAGUAAAAAAGCUAAAAUUAACAUUAAAGACAAGAAGACCCUAUUAAGCUUUAUAAUUAUAAUUUAAUAUCAGAAUAAAUUAAAAAUUAUUUUACUGGGGCAGUAAAUAAAUAAAAUUUUAUUUUUAUAAUAUGAAUACAAUUCUUGAAAAAUCAAAAAAUUUUUAAAAAGGAAUAAGUUACUAUAGGGAUAACAGCAUAAUUUUCUUAAAGAGUUCUUAUCAUCAAGAAAGUUUGUGACCUCGAUGUUGGAUUAAGAUACCUUUUUCAUGCAAUAAUAAAAUAAGGAA
Molecule: ribosomal RNA, 321 nt
Filed under: Euscorpius italicus
Lineage: Eukaryota; Metazoa; Arthropoda; Arachnida; Scorpiones; Euscorpiidae
Description: partial 16S ribosomal RNA
Source: RNAcentral